UCGAUUGAGUUUGAUCCUGGCUCAGGACGAACGCUGGCGGCGUGCUUAACACAUGCAAGUCGAGCGAGGCCCCUUCCUUCGGGGAGGGAGCCCUAGCGGCGAACGGGUGAGUAACACGUGGGCAAUCUGCCCCUAGCACUGGGAUAACCCCGGGAAACCGGGGCUAAUACCGGAUAUGAUCUCUGAGGGCAUCCUCCGGAGAUGGAAAAGAUUCUGGCUAGGGAUGAGCCCGCGGCCUAUCAGCUUGUUGGCGGGGUAAUGGCCCACCAAGGCGACGACGGGUAGCCGGCCUGAGAGGGCGACCGGCCACACUGGGACUGAGACACGGCCCAGACUCCUACGGGAGGCAGCAGUGGGGAAUAUUGCACAAUGGGCGAAAGCCUGAUGCAGCGACGCCGCGUGAGGGAUGACGGCCUUCGGGUUGUAAACCUCUUUCAGCUCCGACGAAGCGAAAGUGACGGUAGGAGCAGAAGAAGCACCGGCCAACUACGUGCCAGCAGCCGCGGUAAUACGUAGGGUGCAAGCGUUGUCCGGAAUUAUUGGGCGUAAAGAGCUCGUAGGCGGCUUGUCGCGUCGGCUGUGAAAACCUGGGGCUCAACCCCGGGCCUGCAGCCGAUACGGGCAAGCUAGAGUUCGGUAGGGGAGACUGGAAUUCCUGGUGUAGCGGUGAAAUGCGCAGAUAUCAGGAGGAACACCGGUGGCGAANGCGGGUCUCUGGGCCGAAACUGACGCUGAGGA
RNAcentral lists this ribosomal RNA (738 nucleotides) under uncultured bacterium. RNAcentral describes it as "bacterial SSU rRNA". It matches the Rfam family "Bacterial small subunit ribosomal RNA", at positions 1 to 752 of the family's 1533-position model. The record is from RNAcentral.